This 1009-nucleotide ribosomal RNA is filed under the name human metagenome. Its description in RNAcentral is "bacterial LSU rRNA". It matches the Rfam family "Bacterial large subunit ribosomal RNA", at positions 1799 to 2816 of the family's 2925-position model. The record is from RNAcentral.
ACUGUUUAUUAAAAACACAGCACUCUGCAAACACGAAAGUGGACGUAUAGGGUGUGACGCCUGCCCGGUGCUGGAAGGUUAAUUGAAGAUGUGAGAGCAUCGGAUCGAAGCCCCAGUAAACGGCGGCCGUAACUAUAACGGUCCUAAGGUAGCGAAAUUCCUUGUCGGGUAAGUUCCGACCUGCACGAAUGGCAUAAUGAUGGCCAGGCUGUCUCCACCCGAGACUCAGUGAAAUUGAAAUCGCCGUGAAGAUGCGGUGUACCCGCGGCUAGACGGAAAGACCCCGUGAACCUUUACUAUAGCUUGACACUGAACAUUGAAUUUUGAUGUGUAGGAUAGGUGGGAGACUUAGAAGUAGUCACGCCAGUGAUUAUGGAGUCGUCCUUGAAAUACCACCCUUUAACGUUUGAUGUUCUAACGAAGAUUACGAAACGUGGUCUCGGACAGUGUCUGGUGGGUAGUUUGACUGGGGCGGUCUCCUCCCAAAGAGUAACGGAGGAGCACGAAGGUUUGCUAAUGACGGUCGGACAUCGUCAGGUUAGUGCAAUGGUAUAAGCAAGCUUAACUGCGAGACAGACAAGUCGAGCAGGUACGAAAGUAGGUCAUAGUGAUCCGGUGGUUCUGAAUGGAAGGGCCAUCGCUCAACGGAUAAAAGGUACUCCGGGGAUAACAGGCUGAUACCGCCCAAGAGUUCAUAUCGACGGCGGUGUUUGGCACCUCGAUGUCGGCUCAUCACAUCCUGGGGCUGAAGUAGGUCCCAAGGGUAUGGCUGUUCGCCAUUUAAAGUGGUACGCGAGCUGGGUUUAGAACGUCGUGAGACAGUUCGGUCCCUAUCUGCCGUGGGCGUUGGAGAAUUGAAAGGGGCUGCUCCUAGUACGAGAGGACCGGAGUGGACGCACCACUGGUGUUCCGGUUGUGUCGCCAGACGCAUUGCCGGGUAGCUAAGUGCGGAAGAGAUAAGUGCUGAAAGCAUCUAAGCACGAAACUUGCCAAGAGAUGAGUUCUCCCA